RNAcentral lists this ribosomal RNA (2475 nucleotides) under Triticum aestivum (bread wheat). Its description in RNAcentral is "partial small subunit ribosomal RNA". The record is from RNAcentral. Lineage: Eukaryota; Viridiplantae; Streptophyta; Magnoliopsida; Poales; Poaceae.
AUGAUGGCCCGGAAUUCAGACGGCGAGCUGGAGGAGCAGUCCACGGAGGGGUACCAGGAGGCGGCGUUCGAGGCCUUCAUGUGCCCGCUCACCAAGCAGGUCAUGCAGGACCCAGUCACCAUCGAGACCGGCCAGACAUUCGAGCGCGAGGCCAUCCUCAAGUGGUUCAGGGAGUGCCGCGACAACGGCCGCAGGCCCACCUGCCCGCUCACGCAGCGCGAGCUCCGCACCACCGACAUCAACCCCAGCAUCGCCCUCCGCAACGUCAUUGACGAGUGGAGGGCCAGGAACGACGAGAAGGACCUUGAGAAGGCCUGCAACGCCCUCAGGCUGCACCCCGAGGACGACGAGGACGAAAGCGUGCGCGCCAUGGCCUACAUCUCGCAGAUAUGCCAGCGGAGCGGCGCCAAGAAGAACCUCGUGCGCGCCCAGGGCAUCAUAUCCACGCUCGCCGACUUGCUCAAGAGCAGCAGCAGGAGGGUCCGCCUCAAGUCCCUGCAGGUCCUCCGCACCGUCGUCGAGGACAAUGAUCAGAACAAGGAAGAGCUGGGGAAGGGCGACACGGUGCGCACGAUCAUAAAGUUCCUGUCGAACGAGCAUAUCCAGGAGAGGGAGCUUGCGGUUUCCCUGCUGUAUGAACUCUCGGAGUAUGAGCCCGUGUGCGAAAGGAUCGGCGCGGUCUAUGGGGCCAUACUGCUGCUGGUUGGCAUGGGGAGCAGCAAGUCGGAGAACAUGAUGGCCGUGGAGAAAGCAGAGAAAACGCUCAAGAAUCUGGAGAAGUAUGACACUAACAUCAAGCAAAUGGCUGAAAAUGGCAGGCUGCAGCCUCUCCUCACCAAACUGCUUCAAGGAGGGCCUGAGGUGCAGGUUACCAUGGUUGAGUACCUCGGGGAGCUCGCGUUGGCCAACGACGUGAAGGUGGUGGUGGCGGAGCAGGUUGGAACUUUGCUGGUGAGCAUCAUCAAGACCGGCGGCCUGCCGGCGAGGGAGGCGACACUGAAGGCGAUGAGGGAGAUGUCAUCCAACGAGCUGAGCGCCAAGAUACUGCUGCAGGCUGGCAUCCUGCCGCCGCUGGUCAAGGACCUCUUCUCCGUCGGCGCCAGCAGCCACUUCCCCAUGAGGCUCAAGGAGGUCUCCGCCACCAUCCUCGCCAACCUGGUCGCCUCUGGGGCCAGCUUCCGCUCCAUCCCGCUCGACGACGCCGGCAGGCAGACGCUCCUGUCCGAGGACGUGGUGCACAGCCUGCUCCAUCUCAUCAGCAACACCGGCCCUGCCGUGGAGUGCAAGCUUCUCAACGUCCUGGUCGGCCUCACCAGCUCACCGGACACAGCCCAAGACGUGGUGUCGGCCAUCAAGAGCUCCGGCGCGACCAUCAGCCUGAUCCAGUUCCUGGAGGCAGCUCACCGGGAGAUCCGCGUCGAGUCCCUCAAGCUCCUGCGCAACGUGUCGCCGUACAUGGGCGCCGAGCUCGCAGAUGCCCUCGGCGGCCACCUGAGCAGCUUGGUCAGGGUGAUAUCCGACGCCGGUGGUGGUGGCGUGACAGAGGAGCAGGCGGCAGCCGUGGGCCUGCUGGGUGACCUCCCGGAGAGGGACUCGAAGCUGACGAGGCAGCUGUUUGAGCUGGGAGCGUUCGGUACGCUGAGCACGAAGCUGGCAGAGCUCCGGCGGGGCGCCAUCCGCGGGAACCGGUACACGACGCCGCUGACGGAGGGCAUGGUGAAGGUGAUGUACAGGCUGACGUGCAUGCUGCAGGAGGCGUCAGAGUACGUGGAGUUUGCGCGGGAGGCCGCCCUGGCGCCGUUGUUUGUGGAGCUCGUGCAGGUGAACGGGCAGGACGCGGUGCAGCUCUACUCGGCGAUGGCGCUGGAGAAGCUGUCCCUCGAGACGAGGAACCUGACGGUCAUCCCUGACCCCCCGCCGCCAGCGCCUUCCGGCGGCUUCCUGUGUGCGUGCUUCGGGGUGCCAUCGUCGACGGGUGCUGCUCCAGGUCGUCCGGUGGGGGUGUGCCGCGUGCACGGUGGGUUCUGUUCGCUGCGGGAGAGCUUCUGCCUAGCUGAAGGCGGGGCCGGAGGCAAGGCGGUGGAGCGGCUGGUGGCGUGCCUGGACCACCUGAACCCGGAGGUGGUGGAGGCGGCGCUGGCGGCACUGGCGACGCUGGUGGGGGACGGGGUGGAGGCUGCGGAGGGUGUGGGGGUUCUUGGGGAUGCCGACGGGCUGCGGCCGGUGGUGGACAUCUUGGUGGAGAACCGGACGGAGGCGCUGCGGCGGCGGGCGGUGUGGGUGGUGGAGCGCAUCCUGCGGGUGGAGGACAUCGCGCAGGAGGUGGCGGCGGACCAGACGGUGGCGUCGGCGCUGGUGGAGGCGUACCGCAACGGCGACCCGCGCACCCGGCACACCGCCGAGCGCGCCCUCCGGCACCUGGACAGGAUCCCGAACUUCUCCAGCGCGUUCCAUGCCCAGGCACGCCGGCCAUGA